Non-coding RNA from Potamilus streckersoni, 73 nucleotides. Lineage: Eukaryota; Metazoa; Mollusca; Bivalvia; Unionida; Unionidae. The record is from the annotation of a GenBank genome assembly.
GCUCCGGUGGCCUAGUGGUUAGAGCAUCCACCUCGGAUGCGGGUGGUCGCAAGUUUGAACCCAGGCCGAGUCA